RNAcentral lists this ribosomal RNA (119 nucleotides) under Pteropus alecto (black flying fox). Lineage: Eukaryota; Metazoa; Chordata; Mammalia; Chiroptera; Pteropodidae. The record is from RNAcentral.
GUCUACGGCCAUGCCACCCUGAACACGUACGAUCUCAUCUGAUCUCGGAAGCUAAGCAGGGUUGGGCCUGGUUAGUACUUGGAUGGAAAACCACCUAGGAAUACUAGGUGCUGUAGGUG